This 496-nucleotide ribosomal RNA is filed under the name uncultured bacterium. RNAcentral describes it as "partial 16S ribosomal RNA". It matches the Rfam family "Bacterial small subunit ribosomal RNA", at positions 29 to 507 of the family's 1533-position model. The record is from RNAcentral.
AUGAACGCUGGCGGCGUGCCUCAUACAUGCAAGUCGAGCGAACGGACGAGAAGCUUGCUUCUCUGAUGUUAGCGGCGGCCGGGUGAGUAACACGUGGAUAACCUACCUAUAAGACUGGGAUAACUUCGGGAAACCGGAGCUAAUACCGGAUAAUAUUUUGAACCGCAUGGUUCAAAAGUGAAAGACGGUCUUGCUGUCACUUAUAGAUGGAUCCUCGCUUCAUUAGCUAGUUGGUAAGGUAACGGCUUACCAAGGCAACGAUGCAUAGCCGACCUGAGAGGGUGAUCGGCCAAACUGGAACGGAGACACGGACCAGACUCCUACGGGAGGCAGCAGUAGGGAAUCUUCCGCAAUGGGCGAAAGCAUGACGGAGCAACGCCGCGUGAGAGAUGAAGGUCUUCGGAUCGUAAAACUCUGUUAUUAGGGAAGAACAUAUGUGUAAGUAACUGUGCACAUCUUGACGGUACCUAAUAAGAAAGCCACGGCUAACUACGUG